ACGGGUGAAGUAACGCGGUAGGUAACCUCGCCUCAUACGAGGGGGAUAACAGUUGGAAACGACUGCUAAGACCGCAUAACCCGCUAGUGUCGCAUGACACGGACGGAAAAUAUUUAUAGGUAUGAGAUGGGCCCGCGUCUGAUUAGCUAGUUGGUAAGGUAACGGCUUACCAAGGCGACGAUCAGUAGCCGACUUGAGAGAGUGAUCGGCCACAUUGGGACUGAGACACGGCCCAAACUCCUACGGGAGGCAGCAGUGGGGAAUAUUGGACAAUGGGGGAAACCCUGAUCCAGCGACGCCCGCGUGAGUGAAGAAGUAUUUCGGUAUGUAAAGCUCUAUCAGCAGGGAAGAUAAUGACAGUACCUGACUAAGAAGCCCCGGCUAACUACGUGCCAGCAGCAGC
This 403-nucleotide ribosomal RNA is filed under the name uncultured bacterium. RNAcentral's name for it is "bacterial SSU rRNA". It matches the Rfam family "Bacterial small subunit ribosomal RNA", at positions 102 to 518 of the family's 1533-position model. The record is from RNAcentral.